UUUGAAAAGGUGGAGGAGGGGGACUGUUUGAAAAGGUGGAGGAGGGGACUGUUAGAAAAGGUGGAGGAGGGGGACUGUUUGAAAAGGUGGAGGAGGACUGUUUGAAAAGGUGGAGGAGGGGACUGUUUGAAAAGGUGGAGGAGGACUGUUUGAAAAGGUGGUGGAGGGGACUGUUUGAAAAGGUGGAGGAGGGGGACUGUUUGAAAAGGUGGAGGAGGACUGUUUGAAAAGGUGGAGGAGGACUGUUAGAAAAGGUGGAGGAGGACUGUUUGAAAAGGUGGAGGAGGACUGUUUGAAAAGGUGGAGGAGGGGACUGUUUGAAAAGGUGGAGGAGGGGGCUGUUUGAAAAGGUGGAGGAGGACUGUUUGAAAAGGUGGAGGAGGACUGUUUGAAAAGGUGGAGGAGGACUGUUUGAAAAGGUGGAGGAGGGGACUGUUUGAAAAGGUGGAGGAGGGGGACUGUUUGAAAAGGUGGAGGAGGACUGUUUGAAAAGGUGGAGGAGGGGACUGUUUGAAAAGGUGGAGGAGGGGGACUGUUUGAAAAGGUGGAGGAGGACUGUUUGAAAAGGUGGAGGAGGGGGACUGUUUGAAAAGGUGGAGGAGGGGACUGUUUGAAAAGGUGGAGGAGGACUGUUUGAAAAGGUGGAGGAGGACUGUUUGAAAAGGUGGAGGAGGACUGUUAGAAAAGGUGGAGGAGGGGGAUCAUGUG
This is a long non-coding RNA of Labrus mixtus (cuckoo wrasse), 708 nucleotides long. RefSeq lists it as uncharacterized. NCBI's taxonomy places the organism in Eukaryota, Metazoa, Chordata, Actinopteri, Labriformes, Labridae. The transcript is spliced from 3 exons. The record is from RefSeq and is a predicted model, not a curated record.